UCGCCCUUUUCCGGUUGACCUGCCGGACCCGACCGCUAUCGGGGUGGGGCUAAGCCAUGGGAGUCGUACGCCCCGGUCACCGGGGCGUGGCGGACGGCUGAGUAAUACGUGGCUAACCUACCCUCGGGACGGGGAUAGCCUCGGGAAACUGAGGCUAAUCCCCGAUAGGUAGGGACUCCUGGAAGGGGCCCUACCGAAAGGGCUACGCGGGGAUGUCCGCGUAGCCGCCCGAGGAUGGGGCCACGGCCCAUCAGGUAGUUGGCGGGGUAACGGCCCGCCAAGCCUAUAACGGGUAGGGGCCGUGAGAGCGGGAGCCCCCAGAUGGGCCCUGAGACAAGGGCCCAGGCCCUACGGGGCGCACCAGGCGCGAAACCUCCGCAAUGCGGGAAACCGUGACGGGGUCACCCCGAGUGCCCCGAAGAGGGGCUUUUCCCCGCUGUAAAAAGGCGGGGGAAUAAGCGGGGGGCAAGUCUGGUGUCAGCCGCCGCGGUAAUACCAGCCCCGCGAGUGGUCGGGACGAUUAUUGGGCCUAAAGCACCCGUAGCCGGCCCGGUAAGUCCCCCCUUAAAGCCCCGGGCCCAACCCGGGGACGGGGGGGAUACUGCCGGGCUAGGGGGCGGGAGAGGCCGGCGGUACUCCCGGGGUAGGGGCGAAAUCCGUUAAUCCCGGGAGGACCACCAGUGGCGAAGGCGGCCGGCUGGAACGCGCCCGACGGUGAGGGGCGAAAGCCGGGGGAGCGAACCGGAUUAGAUACCCGGGUAGUCCCGGCUGUAAACGAUGCGGGCUAGUCGUUGGGCGGGCUCAGAGCCCGCCCAGUGACGCAGGGAAGCCGUUAAGCCCGCCGCCUGGGGAGUACGGCCGCAAACCCGGAGCGGGUUGUCAACCCCUCCGGGGCGGAGGGCUGAAAGGCGGCGGGCGUGCGGGGGUUUCAUAAUUACUUGGUGUUAUCCGAGGUGAUGGCCACGUUGGGAGGUAUUUUGCUGAAGUUAGCGACGGGUAUGAGGUGAGUUCGAGCGUUGCUGCAUCAGUAAUCGCAGACCCUGGAUAUAGAGCUUUAGGAAGAGUAUCAGAUAUAUAGAAGACGAGACGCUCUCAGAUUCGCCGAUGAAAUAGGAUUUCCUGAACCCAACUAAAAGGAGAAAAUACUUCACUCCCCUUGUAAUUCAACUCUAUAG
This 1175-nucleotide ribosomal RNA is filed under the name uncultured Desulfurococcales archaeon. RNAcentral describes it as "partial 16S ribosomal RNA". It matches the Rfam family "Archaeal small subunit ribosomal RNA", at positions 1 to 938 of the family's 1478-position model. Lineage: Archaea; Thermoproteati; Thermoproteota; Thermoprotei; Desulfurococcales. The record is from RNAcentral.